This is a long non-coding RNA of Erpetoichthys calabaricus (reedfish), 386 nucleotides long. RefSeq lists it as uncharacterized. The record is from RefSeq and is a predicted model, not a curated record. The transcript is spliced from 2 exons. NCBI's taxonomy places the organism in Eukaryota, Metazoa, Chordata, Cladistia, Polypteriformes, Polypteridae.
AAAACAUCUCUACUAAUCUUACUAAAUUUCAACUUGAUUUAAAACUAUAUGUAUACCUUUUGUUCAGAUCUUGUCACCUGAUUGCAAGAUCCAUGUGUACUUGACCCCCUCCUUAAUAGCCGUCACUAGGUGACCAAAGCACACGUGGUCACUACAACACCAGCUUUUUUAUAUUCUAGUUUCGAUGAGCUGCUUCACUCAUUGCUCAUCCAGGAAGAGGCAGUGACUUCCUGUAAAAAUGCUUCAAAAAUGCUUGUUUUUUUUUUUGUUUGUUUUUCUGUUUUUCAUUUUUUAACCAGCAUUUUAUGAGCGUUACCACUGAUUUCAAUUGAAAACACCUUUGGCUGAAAACACUCGAAAACUGCUGCAUGUGGAGGAUUUCUAAA